Molecule: ribosomal RNA, 420 nt
Filed under: Staphylococcus aureus
Lineage: Bacteria; Bacillati; Bacillota; Bacilli; Caryophanales; Staphylococcaceae
Description: partial 23S ribosomal RNA
Rfam family: Bacterial large subunit ribosomal RNA
Source: RNAcentral
GCUCACUAGUCGAGUGACACUGCGCCGAAAAUGUACCGGGGCUAAACAUAUUACCGAAGCUGUGGAUUGUCCUUUGGACAAUGGUAGGAGAGCGUUCUAAGGGCGUUGAAGCAUGAUCGUAAGGACAUGUGGAGCGCUUAGAAGUGAGAAUGCCGGUGUGAGUAGCGAAAGACGGGUGAGAAUCCCGUCCACCGAUUGACUAAGGUUUCCAGAGGAAGGCUCGUCCGCUCUGGGUUAGUCGGGUCCUAAGCUGAGGCCGACAGGCGUAGGCGAUGGAUAACAGGUUGAUAUUCCUGUACCACCUAUAAUCGUUUUAAUCGAUGGGGGGACGCAGUAGGAUAGGCGAAGCGUGCGAUUGGAUUGCACGUCUAAGCAGUAAGGCUGAGUAUUAGGCAAAUCCGGUACUCGUUAAGGCUGAGC